GACGAACGCUGGCGGCGUGCUUAACACAUGCAAGUCGAACGGAAAGGCCCUGCUUGCAGGGUGCUCGAGUGGCGAACGGGUGAGUAACACGUGGGUGAUCUGCCCCUUACUUUGGGAUAAGCCUGGGAAACUGGGUCUAGUACUGGAUAGGACCAUGCUGUAGGUGGUGUGGUGGAAAGAUUAGUUUCGGUAAGGGAUGAGCUCGCGGCCUAUCAGCUUGUUGGUGGGGUAAUGGCCUACCUAGGCGUCGACGGGUAGCCGGCCUGAGAGGGUGGACGGCCACAUUGGGACUGAGAUACGGCCCAGACUCCUACGGGAGGCAGCAGUGGGGAAUAUUGCACAAUGGGCGCAAGCCUGAUGCAGCGACGCCGCGUGGGGGAUGACGGCCUUCGGGUUGUAAACUCCUUUCAGCCAUGACGAAGCCCUUGUGGUGACGGUAGUGGUAGAAGAAGCACCGGCUAACUACGUG
RNAcentral lists this ribosomal RNA (469 nucleotides) under uncultured bacterium. RNAcentral describes it as "partial 16S ribosomal RNA". It matches the Rfam family "Bacterial small subunit ribosomal RNA", at positions 28 to 507 of the family's 1533-position model. The record is from RNAcentral.